This is a long non-coding RNA of Lathyrus oleraceus (garden pea), 438 nucleotides long. RefSeq lists it as uncharacterized. NCBI's taxonomy places the organism in Eukaryota, Viridiplantae, Streptophyta, Magnoliopsida, Fabales, Fabaceae. The transcript has 2 exons. The record is from RefSeq and is a predicted model, not a curated record.
UACAAUCAAAUAUAGAGAAAGUCUAAUCUUUUCUUCUCAAGGAAACCAAACCCAAACCAUCCUCUCCUUUUCUCAUCUUGUUCAAAUGGCAUCUUGGACUGCAAGACAAAACAAAUUAUUUGAAGAGGCACUUGCUAUAUAUGACAGGGACACACCUGACAAGUGGCACAAUGUCGCUAAAGUGGUCGGAAAAUCCGUUGAGGAUGUUAAAAGGCAUUAUGAAGUACUCAAAGAAGAUAUCAGGCGCAUUGAGCGUGGUGAAGUUCCUUUUCCUUAUAAAGGUUCAUGAUUCUUAAGAAUCUAUGAUUUGCAGACUCAACAUCUUAUGUGUAUCCAAAAGUGAUUCGGAAAGGAAUUCGCUUUUCUUGUAAACAAAGUUAUUUAUAGGUUGUGUUGUCAUGUAUAUAUCACCCAAGUGAAAUAAAAUUGUUGUUAAUU